CCAUUUCCAUUUCCAGCUCCAUGUUCCAGUUCCAUAGAUCAUACCCUGUUAUUAUUGGCAAAAAAAAACUCCAUGAAUUCGCAGUUGCGUGCCGGCGGCGCGUGUUCCUCCUCUUCUCCUUCUUUAAUGUGAUGGCUUAUGUCAUGCAAAAUCCACCCACUCAUUUUUAUUAUUGUUAACUACGAAAUUGGUAUGUUGUGGAUAAAGAUGGAAGAUGAUAUCGACGAGUUAUAAUUUAACGGUAUAAGCACUGGCCAGCAAACGACGUAAAAAUUAUUGAAUUAGUUUGUGGUGGAUAAAGAUAGAAGAUGGUGGAAUAGCACAUGCUAAAGGACAUGAAACGACAUGGGAAUUAUUGAAGUUAGGUUUGAGUUGGCGGUUCUUCUUCUGGAAAGUUCAUUCGUUAGUGAGCUUAUAUGGGGUCAAUGGAAGCAGAAUUGGUGAGCCAUUUUGACCAGAUAUCAUCGAUCCGAGUUGCUAGGAUGGCAGCACAUACACGUACCCAAACCAAUAUAUUUAUUUGUUUGAUGAAGAACAUAUUAUUAUGGAGUGAUAGCUACGAAAUUGGAAACAUUUGCCGGGACCAUAGUCCAUAGCCAUAGGCCAUUUAAUUGACUGUGGGAUAACUAUGGACACAGGCAUAUUGGAAAUUAAGAGCAGUGGGCAGUGGCCCUAAUGACAAUAUACAUACCACCACUACCAUAUUAAUAUCAUAACAUUAAAUAAUGACUAAAGUUCAAUUUGAAUACGAAUAAAAUCCAUUAAGGAACUGAAAAUGAAAUAUGAAGUUGGUGGUCAGCAAAAAUUAAAUCACACGAGUUAACCAAAUUAACCAAUCUAUCUUUUUAUAAAUUUAAAUAAUUUUUUAGUUGAUUUAGUUCGAUUCAAAAUAUUUUAGUUUAGUUACGGUUGAUUUUUAUCUAUUUUUGAAUUAUUAUUUAAUAUUUUUAUCAAAAUUAACUUACGAAUCCAAUUGAUUUGAUUUUAUAAUUAAACAUUUUAAUUAAUUUGAUUAAGGAAAUAAAAUAAUUGGCUUGAUUUAAUUUCAUUCAAAAGAAUAGAGAUUAUGAUAAUUUAUGGUUUAAAAGAAGGGUUUUCACUCACUUAGCAUUCAAAAAGAAUCUCCUUUUGCUUUCCAAAGUUUUGGUGAGAUAUGAGACUCAGACGACUGAAUUAAUUAAAAAUUCAAAUGAAAACAUUAUGAAAGGGAGAUGAUGAUUGCUAUUAUCUGGAAGAUAACGAUAAAGGAAAUUAAGGUUAUCUUGCCCCACCUCCAUGUGCCAUCUAUUUAAUGUGCAUUUUUUUAAAAAAAAAAAGGCAAAAUCCACCCUAAGCCUUUUCUAUUUUACCAUUUUGACUUAAUAAGCCCUUAUUCUAAAAUUCAUCAUUGACGGAUCCAUUUAUUUUCAUUAUUGACAUGUUCAGACCCUUACGUAGAUGGAAAAUGGAAAAUGCGUUUCACUCACCGUUACGUGAGAAUAGAAAACAUUUGUCUGAUUUUUUUAACUUUGAAUCCUACUACUACAUAUAAAAUAAAAGGACCUUAAAUGGACUUUUUUCUUUUCUUCUCCACUUCUCUAAAAUCAGAUGUUCUCGUCCAGGAAUUUGUAUGUUUCCUCUGCUUAUUCAUUUUCUUAAUCCAUUUCAGCUUCAUUAUUAUAAUGGUUCACAUGAUUAUUUCAGGUGUUAAGUAAGAAAUAUAAAGCAAAUAAACUACUAUUUUCAUUAGUUAAUCAUUUGGAGGGUCAAUUUCUGAUUUAUAACAGCAGAUAUUUUGUUUUUUCUCUUUUACUUUUUCUGCUUUGUAAUUUAGUAAUAAACAUAAUGUUAUAGGAUCUAAUGCUAGAAUUUAUGAGUCAAAUUGAACUUUGAAAUUGCAAGGAUCCCUAAAAUUGGUUAUGAUACAUUGUCAAUUAACAGAAUUUCAGCAUUCCCAGAGUUGGGUGCUUAAUUUUUUUCCUUAAUUGUCAAGUAUAAUUUUUUCUUCCUUCUUUGUCGAUUUUUUUCGUCUCUGUUGAUUUUUUUUCUUUCAACUACAUAAUGUUGUACCUGAUUGAGUGUGAGAGACGAGAUAAAGAAGGAAGAAGCAGAGGAGAAUGAGGAGAGGUAUGAAGUGAACGAGUUUUUCAGGUUUAGGCGGAGAAAAAGAUAACGGCGGUGACGUGGAGGAGGAGGAAACGGAGAAGCGGCAAGGAGGAGGAAGUGUGGUUGAUUUGUGGUGGUCGUCGUCUUUGUUGAGCUGGAGGAGUCCGUCGGAGUGUGGGGAGCCUAGAGAUAGCCUCUGCAUUUUUGAGUUUAGUGAGAGAAAUGGAUAGAGAGAGGGAGGAGCUGUUGGUGUUUAGUAUAGUAAUGAGAUUUGGUUACAAAUGGCAGUGUGCUGCAAACGUCAAAUUUUUUUGAAUUGAAAAAGACAUGGUGAGGGAAGAAGAUGAUGGCAAAAUAAUAAUUUUGCCAUCAAAUUUAUUUUAUUUUUCACUUUUUGUUUAAAGUGUGAUUUUGUGUAAAACAAGUCCUCAAAAUUAAUGCCACGUUAUUUUUUUCUGUUAA
Molecule: long non-coding RNA, 2547 nt
Organism: Mercurialis annua (annual mercury)
Lineage: Eukaryota; Viridiplantae; Streptophyta; Magnoliopsida; Malpighiales; Euphorbiaceae
Exons: 3
Source: RefSeq, a predicted model, not a curated record